RNAcentral lists this transfer-messenger RNA (398 nucleotides) under Gaoshiqia sediminis. It matches the Rfam family "transfer-messenger RNA". From Rfam's summary of the family: Bacterial tmRNA, also known as 10Sa RNA or SsrA, is named for its dual tRNA and mRNA-like properties. Its role is to liberate the mRNA from a stalled ribosome. To accomplish this part of the tmRNA is used as a reading frame that ends in a translation stop signal. The record is from Rfam by way of RNAcentral. Lineage: Bacteria; Pseudomonadati; Bacteroidota; Bacteroidia; Marinilabiliales; Prolixibacteraceae.
GGGGAUGACUGGUUUUGACAGCGGGUAGAAGAGGUAUGUAAGCAUGCCGAGCGUUGUUUGUUGGCUCGUUAAUCUCAAUGAUCGAACUUUUAAUUGGCGAAAAUAAUUACGCUCUUGCUGCGUAAUUCUACUAAGUAGAUUACACUUAAUCCAGGCACCAGGUGCCAGGACAAGACAUCGCCCGGGUGCUACUUUCCUGAAGCGGCCCGAUCCGGCGGUGCAAGUAAAUCGGGAAUAGCGAAAGUUUAGCUUCGGGACUUUUGCGAAACUUAAGAAGCUAAGGUAGCGGUCGGUGGCCUCGAUCCAGCUGCUACUCGAAAAUCAAGUCUUGGCUAAGCAUGUAGAAAGCAUAUUGCUUCCUCGUUUGGACCCGGGUUCGACUCCCGGCAUCUCCACCC